UAAGUAUUACGCUGGCCAAAAAGCUUGUUCAGGUUUUUCCACUGUUACAGAAAAAACCCACAUGAACUUUUUGGCCAACCCAA
This 83-nucleotide microRNA precursor is filed under the name Ovis aries (sheep). RNAcentral's name for it is "miRNA (ENSOARG00000021412.1)". Lineage: Eukaryota; Metazoa; Chordata; Mammalia; Artiodactyla; Bovidae. The record is from RNAcentral.